GGGGCCUUAGCUCAGUUGGCAGAGCGCCUGCUUUGCAAGCAGGAAGUCAGGAGUUCGAAUCUCCUAGGCUCCA
Molecule: transfer RNA, 73 nt
Organism: Nonomuraea sp.
Lineage: Bacteria; Bacillati; Actinomycetota; Actinomycetes; Streptosporangiales; Streptosporangiaceae
Rfam family: tRNA
About the family: Transfer RNA (tRNA) molecules are approximately 80 nucleotides in length. Their secondary structure includes four short double-helical elements and three loops (D, anti-codon, and T loops).
Source: Rfam